GUGCCAGCAGCCGCGGUAAUACGGAGAGGGCUAGCGUUGUUCGGAAUUACUGGGCGUAAAGCGCACGUAGGCGGCUUUGCAAGUUAGAGGUGAAAGCCCGGGGCUCAACUCCGGAAUUGCCUUUAAAACUGCAUCGCUAGAAUUGUGGAGAGGUAAGUGGAAUUCCGAGUGUAGAGGUGAAAUUCGUAGAUAUUCGGAAGAACACCAGUGGCGAAGGCGACUUACUGGACACAUAUUGACGCUGAGGUGCGAAAGCGUGGGGAGCAAACAGGGUUAGAUACCCUGGUAGUCCACGCCGUAAACGAUGAUGACUAGCUGUCGGGGCGCUUGGCGUUCCGGUGGCGCAGCUAACGCGUUAAGUCAUCCGCCUGGGGAGUACGGCCGCAAGGUUAAAACUCAAAGAAAUUGACGGGA
Molecule: ribosomal RNA, 414 nt
Filed under: uncultured Alphaproteobacteria bacterium
Lineage: Bacteria; Pseudomonadati; Pseudomonadota; Alphaproteobacteria
Description: bacterial SSU rRNA
Rfam family: Bacterial small subunit ribosomal RNA
Source: RNAcentral